GCAGGUUCGGAUCCUGUUUCUCUA
This 24-nucleotide transfer RNA is filed under the name Plestiodon lotus. RNAcentral describes it as "partial tRNA-Gln". Lineage: Eukaryota; Metazoa; Chordata; Lepidosauria; Squamata; Scincidae. The record is from RNAcentral.